This 605-nucleotide ribosomal RNA is filed under the name Spinomantis massi. Its description in RNAcentral is "partial 16S ribosomal RNA". The stretch from base 1 to 420 matches the Rfam family "Bacterial large subunit ribosomal RNA", at positions 686 to 1300 of the family's 2925-position model. Lineage: Eukaryota; Metazoa; Chordata; Amphibia; Anura; Mantellidae. The record is from RNAcentral.
AAACGAACUUUUAGUUUGACACCCCGAAGCUAAGUGAGCUACUUCGAAACAACCCAAAGAGCCAACCCAUCUCUGUCGCAAAAGAGUGGGAUGAUUUCCAAGUAGAAGUGAUAAACCUACCGCACUUAGAAAUAGCUGGUUAUUCGAGAAAAGAAUAUAAGUNCAACCUUAAGUCUCCACAUUUAAUAAAAAACCACAUAAAACUUAAGAGUUAAUCGAAUAAGGCACAGCUUAUUCGAAUCAGGAUACAACCUACAAUCUAGGGUAAAACUCAUAAACACAUAACAAGUGGGCCUAAUAGCAGCCACCUUUUAAAAAGCGUUAAAGCUUAAUAUAUUUUUAUCAUUAAUACCUUCACCAACUUUUAACCCUUAAACAGUAUCGAAUAAUUCCAUAAUAAUAUGGAAGAUAUAAUGCUAGAACUAGUAAUAAGAAAUAGACUUUCUCCAAAAUGUAAGCUAAAGCCUUAAUAGACCCACUACCGGCAAUUAACGCAAAUGAAUUUACCAUAGUAACCCCGCAAGAAAAAACUAUGUACUUUAACGUCAACCUUACACCAGAACAUUUAUGGAAAGAUUAAAAGAGAAAGAAGGAACUCGGCAAAU